This 289-nucleotide ribosomal RNA is filed under the name uncultured Pseudomonas sp. Its description in RNAcentral is "partial 16S ribosomal RNA". It matches the Rfam family "Bacterial small subunit ribosomal RNA", at positions 1096 to 1382 of the family's 1533-position model. Lineage: Bacteria; Pseudomonadati; Pseudomonadota; Gammaproteobacteria; Pseudomonadales; Pseudomonadaceae. The record is from RNAcentral.
GCGCAACCCUUGUCCUUAGUUACCAGCACGUUAUGGUGGGCACUCUAAGGAGACUGCCGGUGACAAACCGGAGGAAGGUGGGGGAUGACGUCAAGUCAUCAUGGCCCUUACGGCCUGGGCUACACACGUGCUACAAUGGUCGGUACAAAGGGUUGCCAAGCCGCGAGGUGGAGCUAAUCCCAUAAAACCGAAUCGUAGUCCGGAUCGCAGUCUGCAACUCGACUGCGUGAAGUCGGAAUCGCUAGUAAUCGUGAAUCAGAAUGUCACGGUGAAUACGUUCCCGGGCCUU